UGGGGAAUUUUGGACAAUGGGCGCAAGCCUGAUCCAGCCAUGCCGCGUGCGGGAAGAAGGCCUUCGGGUUGUAAACCGCUUUUGUCAGGGAAGAAAUCUUCUGAGUUAAUACCUCGGGAGGAUGACGGUACCUGAAGAAUAAGCACCGGCUAACUACGUGCCAGCAGCCGCGGUAAUACGUAGGGUGCAAGCGUUAAUCGGAAUUACUGGGCGUAAAGCGUGCGCAGGCGGUUUUGUAAGACAGAGGUGAAAUCCCCGGGCUCAACCUGGGAACUGCCUUUGUGACUGCAAGGCUUGAGUGCGGCAGAGGGGGGAAUGGAAUUCCGCGUGUAGCAGUGAAAUGCGUAGAUAUGCGGAGGAACACCGAUGGCGAAGGCAGCCCCCCUGGGUCAAGAUUGACGCUCAUGCACGAAAAGCGUGGGGAGCAAAACAGGAUUAGAUA
RNAcentral lists this ribosomal RNA (442 nucleotides) under uncultured bacterium. RNAcentral's name for it is "partial 16S ribosomal RNA". It matches the Rfam family "Bacterial small subunit ribosomal RNA", at positions 355 to 784 of the family's 1533-position model. The record is from RNAcentral.